Molecule: transfer RNA, 63 nt
Filed under: Cordylochernes scorpioides
Lineage: Eukaryota; Metazoa; Arthropoda; Arachnida; Pseudoscorpiones; Chernetidae
Description: tRNA-OTHER
Source: RNAcentral
UGCAUCGGCCGGGAAUCGAACUCGGGCCGCCCGCGUGGCAUUUUACCACUGAACCAUCGAUGC